AUGUGUUGUUGGGUAGGGGAGCGUUCUGUAAGCCUGCGAAGGUGUGCUGUGAGGCAUGCUGGAGGUAUCAGAAGUGCGAAUGCUGACAUAAGUAACGAUAAAGCGGGUGAAAAGCCCGCUCGCCGGAAGACCAAGGGUUCCUGUCCAACGUUAAUCGGGGCAGGGUGAGUCGACCCCUAAGGCGAGGCCGAAAGGCGUAGUCGAUGGGAAACAGGUUAAUAUUCCUGUACUUGGUGUUACUGCGAAGGGGGGACGGAGAAGGCUAUGUUAGCCGGGCGACGGUUGUCCCG
RNAcentral lists this ribosomal RNA (290 nucleotides) under Klebsiella pneumoniae. RNAcentral describes it as "partial 23S ribosomal RNA". It matches the Rfam family "Bacterial large subunit ribosomal RNA", at positions 1216 to 1509 of the family's 2925-position model. RNAcentral also lists the same sequence under 1 other name. The record is from RNAcentral. Lineage: Bacteria; Pseudomonadati; Pseudomonadota; Gammaproteobacteria; Enterobacterales; Enterobacteriaceae.